RNAcentral lists this RNase P RNA (362 nucleotides) under Paludibacteraceae bacterium. Its description in RNAcentral is "RNase P RNA component class A". It matches the Rfam family "Bacterial RNase P class A". Rfam says of the family: Ribonuclease P (RNase P) is a ubiquitous endoribonuclease, found in archaea, bacteria and eukarya as well as chloroplasts and mitochondria. Its best characterised activity is the generation of mature 5'-ends of tRNAs by cleaving the 5'-leader elements of precursor-tRNAs. Cellular RNase Ps are ribonucleoproteins. The record is from RNAcentral. Lineage: Bacteria; Pseudomonadati; Bacteroidota; Bacteroidia; Bacteroidales; Paludibacteraceae.
ACAGCAGGUCGGUUUGUCGCUGUCCUGUCAUGCGGGAUAGAGGAAAGUCCGGGCAACAAAGAGCACCAUAUUUCCUAACGGGAAGUUGUCAGUGAUGGCAAAGUAGUGUAACAGAAAAUAACCGUCCGUCAGUUGACGGAUAAGGGUGAAAAGGUGAGGUAAGAGCUUACCGGAGCCGGUGGCGACACCGGUUGCCGUACACCUUAUGGGUUGCAAGAUCAUGUAUACCGGCGCAGUAGGGUGGCUCGUCCGAUGCCGGGGGGUAGAUUGCUAGAUUCCGUCAGUGAUGACGGAGCCAGAUAAAUGACAAACAGUGUGCUUCAUGCACAUUACAGAACCCGGCUUACAGACCUGCUGUUUUU